RNAcentral lists this ribosomal RNA (270 nucleotides) under uncultured Nitrosomonas sp. Its description in RNAcentral is "partial 16S ribosomal RNA". It matches the Rfam family "Bacterial small subunit ribosomal RNA", at positions 340 to 601 of the family's 1533-position model. Lineage: Bacteria; Pseudomonadati; Pseudomonadota; Betaproteobacteria; Nitrosomonadales; Nitrosomonadaceae. The record is from RNAcentral.
UACGGGAGGCAGCAGUGGGGAAUUUUGGACAAUGGGGGCAUCCCUGAUCCUACCAUCAAACGCGAGUGAAGAAGGCCUUGCGGGUUGUAAAGCUCUUUCAGCCGGGAAGAAAAUGCAUGGUUUAAUACCCCGUGCAGAUGACGGUACCGGAAUAAGAAGCACCGGCUAAUGAGCUGCCAGCAGCCGCGGUAAUACUUAGGGUGCGAGCGUUAAUCGGAAUUACUUGGCUCAAGCGUGCGCACGCGCCGCAACACAGGCGGAUCCCGGAUC